AAUGGGCCGGUCACACCCUGUGCAGGACCCAGUCCCGGUCAGGACACAGCAUGGACAUGAAGGCCCCCGCUCAGCUCCUGGGCCUCCCGCUGCUCUGGCUCCCAGGAGCCAGCUGCGAAAUCCAGAUGACCCAGUCUCCAUCCUCGCUGUCUGCAUCUCCAGGAGACAGAGUCACCAUCACCUGCCGGGCGAGUCAGAACGUUAACACGUGGUUAGCCUGGUAUCAGCAGAAACCGGGGAAAGUUCCUAAGCUUCUGAUCUAUCGUGCAUCCACGUUGCAAACUGGGGUCCCCUCGCGGUUCAGCGGCAGUGGGUCUGGGAGAGAUUUCACCCUCACCAUCAGCAGCCUGGAGCCUGAAGACGCUGCCACUUACUACUGCCAGCAAAGUAACAAUCUCCCGUACAAUUUCGGCCAGGGGACGAAGCUGGAGAUAAAACGGAGUGAUGCUCAGCCAUCUGUCUUUCUCUUCCAACCAUCUCUGGACGAGUUACAUACAGGAAGUGCCUCUAUCGUGUGCAUGUUGAAUGACUUCUACCCCAAAGAGGUCAAUGUCAAGUGGAAAGUGGAUGGCGUUGUCCAAAACAAAGGCAUCCAGGAGAGCACCACAGAGCAGAACAGCAAAGACAGCACCUACAGCCUCAGCAGCACCCUGACGAUGUCCAGUACGGAGUACCAAAGUCAUGAAAAGUACUCCUGCGAGGUCACUCACAAGAGCCUGGCCUCCACCCUCGUCAAGAGUUUCAACAGGAGCGAGUGUCAGAGAGAGUAGCCUAGCAGGCCUCAUCACCUGCGCCUCAGUCCCAGACUCUCUGUCUCCCUCCUCAGGCCUCCGGACCUUUCCCCAUCGGAGACCCACACCUAUUGCAGGCCCUUGUCCCCACCUUACUGCCUCCCCCUCUUUGGCUUUAAUCAUGCUAAUAAUAUUUGGGGGGAAAUGAAUAAAUAAAGUGAAUCUUUGCACCAGUGA
Molecule: non-coding RNA, 968 nt
Organism: Herpailurus yagouaroundi (jaguarundi)
Lineage: Eukaryota; Metazoa; Chordata; Mammalia; Carnivora; Felidae
Source: the annotation of a RefSeq genome assembly